RNAcentral lists this unclassified non-coding RNA (327 nucleotides) under uncultured fungus. RNAcentral describes it as "partial contains 5.8S ribosomal RNA and internal transcribed spacer 2". The stretch from base 1 to 133 matches the Rfam family "5.8S ribosomal RNA", at positions 22 to 154 of the family's 154-position model. The record is from RNAcentral. Lineage: Eukaryota; Fungi.
UGGUUCUGGCAUCGAUGAAGAACGCAGCGAAAUGCGAUAAGUAAUGCGAAUUGCAGAAUUCAGUGAGUCAUCGAAUCUUUGAACGCACAUUGCGCCCUUUGGUAUUCCGAAGGGCAUGCCUGUUCGAGCGUCAUUAUCAACCAUCAAGCCUGGCUUGUCGUUGGACCCCUUUGUCGCCUGGCGACAGAUCCAAAAGAUAAUGACCGGCGUCGUGGUGACCCUAUAUGCAACGAGCUUGUAAGAGCACGCACUUAGUGGUCGUCCGGCUCGGUUGUCACCCUUUAUUUUCUCAAGGUUGACCUCGGAUCAGGUAGGAAUACCCGCUGA